AUGAUGGAGGACAGGAGAGCCUGGAGGAAUGUUGUCCAUGGAGUCGUGAUGGGUCGGGCAUGACUUUGUGAUGAAACAGCAACCAUGGGAAAGGCUUCUGUCCUGGGACAGGAUGGACCACCUGGGAUGGGUUCUCCUGCCUUGAGAACCCUGCCCAGGUGGAGUGGACAACAUCAGGUGAGACAGACAAAUCCUCUCAGCUGAUCUGGGGAUAGAUGUAUGAUGCUCCUAAGGAGAGAGAGAAGAAAGCAGUAAGGUUUGUUUAAAAACCAAGUCAAGGAGGGACCGUAUUGCCAACUGGGGCAUCCCAGGACUGCAAAGGCUGGUAUCUGCUCCUCUAAAGGAUGGAAGGAGAAAUCCUAUGGCUCGUCAGUAGCAGUGGAGAGGCCAUGGGCUGGGUCGGAUUCCUGGAUCAGAGUGCUGUGACCUUGGAGUAGGGAGUGGGGGAACCACCCCACCGCCUCUUGCAGCCAACCCAAAAAGAACCACUCAGGCUUGCCUCUGGAGUCAGGAAAACACCCCAAAGACAGGAAGAAGCGGGUGUUUCCUGAGGGUGCACUCAGAUAUCGCACUUGAAAAGGUAAGUGAGCAAAUCUCAAAAGCCACUCCAGAAAAGGGAUUCCAAGCCAAACUAAACCUGAGACUCUGUAGCCGUUAGGUCUGUGAUUUGGAGAGAAGCAAAUGCUACUUAGUUUCUAACUUUAGUCUUUGUUUUUUCCUGCUUCUAGAUUACGUUGCCUUGUUCAGCACCAAAUGUCACGGAUGUGACUUCCCUGUUGAAGCAGGAGAUAAAUUCAUCGAAGCCCUUGGACACACCUGGCAUGACACCUGCUUCAUUUGUGCUGUGUGCCAUGUGAAUUUGGAAGGGCAGCCCUUUUAUUCAAAGAAGGAUAAGCCGCUGUGCAAGAAGCACGCGCAUGCCAUCAACGUCUAAAGGAAGAGCGGGAGACUUGACACCAAAGGGAAAAGACGAGGGGUUGACUCAACAAAUGAAAUAUAGAUAACUAUGGAUUUGUCAAGGUGGGGAGGGUCAGGGAAUGAAUUAUGAUCACUUCUGAAGCUGAAUUCAGUUGCUUUUAUAUGUGCAGAACUUACUCUUGUACACUUCCUAAAAAAAGUGAACGCAUAUUCAAAACUUGACAGUUGCUGCAAAGGUUUGAGCAAAACGAACCAAAAAAAAGAAGGAAAAAAAAGAAAAAAAUCUAAAAGUAAUAUAUGUAAUUACAAAUAUACAUCUAUAUUGUGUUCACCAGGGCAAACUUUAGGAUAACGCUAUACAAUCAUGCUUCAAAAAAUGAAUAUAUAGAAACCAUUAUUGUAUUAUGAUAACAACUCAAAAGUGCCAAAACUUGGUCUGUAGCAAUGAGUGAAGUGUUCCUCACAAGCAGACGGAAUUGUGUUUCAUCAUUAACGUCCUAAUCAUUCAUCUUCUGCAUACCAGAUGUUCUACAGGCUUUAUACAAUAGAGACAUAAUGAAAGCACUGCCGCUGGCUUACCCACUUGAGGCUUGAAUCCGGGCACAUCCAAAGGGCAGUCGCACAGUGGGAUGGGGCGUGCUUCCUUUUGGGAUGGCCAUCGCCAUGGUACCCUGGUUAGCUGUAUAUAGAUAGGGAACCCAUGCAAGCUGGACCGGCGGCAGGAUUCUUCCCUACAGGGAGGUGGCGCCAUCUCCCAGUUGGCGUAUGUGGCGAAAUGUAUCACCUCAUUGGUUCAACUCAUGUGACUGUUUGUCCUCACCUGAUUGGAGCAAUGGAAGCCCAUCCCGAGGAAGCAGUGUGUUUCACACUGCUGGAGGGUCAACUUGCCCUGCUUUGGAAGAAUUGGAGCUAAAUGCAGCUGUGUUUUGCACACCGCCAGGGCUGCCGCAGGGCCAUUGAGGUUGUGAUGGGUGUGUGAAUAUUGGCCCCCUCUGGAUGUUUGCCUCCCAAGAAGAAGAGUGGCGACAGGGUGGCGACGGUGUAAGGGAAGCCCAUACGGUCAGCUCUGUCCAAACGGUGGUGGUAUCCCUAUACAGUAUCUAUCUGAAGAUCAAUCCUGGAGCCCUGGGGGACAGGCCCAUUGGAAGUGGCCCCUGCCAGGCUCUGGGUGCAAGUGAAGGAACGUGUUUUUGGUGGUGGUUGUGAGAAGAGAAAAAGGAGUUAGCUGACAGUAAUUCCUGCCGGCAAAGGCAAAGCAUCAGAGCACGCGUAUCAUCAAUGAGUUAGAGUGAAUCUCAUCCACAGGGAACUAGUUUUCUCCAGGUUGAGGUUACAUAAGGAAAGAGGAAGAGCUUGAAAGGAUCCAUGCCGUGUUCAUCCGUGUACUUGAGUCGCUUUUUCUCUUACACGUUUGUGCUUUCAUCUUGGGGGUUGAGGGAAUAUCUAGUACAGACCUGCCCAGCCUGGAGUCUUCCAGAUGUGUUGGAAUACAAUGCACAUCACCCCAGCUUGCAUAGCCAUUGGGUGGAAAUGACGGGAAUUGCAGCCCAUCACAUUUUGAGGUCUCCAGUUUGGGAAAGUGUGAUCUAGAACAAAAAUAGAAUUGGGAGUAGCCAGGGGAAGGGUGGGUUCCAUUCUUAUUUUGAUGCCUUUGGUGCUGAGGUACCUUGUUUCUGCUAAAACUGAUAACCAUUCACAGGUGGCCUUGGCCAACAGGCAUACCCAGUUGUAAACUGUGAUUAGAUCCUCUAGAUAAAGGCAUCUCUGAAGUGUGAUUGAGUUUGCUGUCACAAGGAAAUAAAGCCUUUGGAGUUCAGAGUGGUAUUAGUGCCACUUCCCCCAACCUAGUGCUGGACUAUGACUCCCAUCAUCCUUAGCCAGCUUGCCCAUGGUAGGAAUUGUAGUUCACCUCUACACCAGGGAAGCCACCAGGUUGGGGGAUGCUAUAUUAGUUCAACACCCUUUUUUCUGUUUUUGAACAAAUUUUUAAUAUCUCAGCAAGUACUUCUUGGAGCUUUCUGUAUUGUUGCGACUGGAUGCAUGUAUUUAUUCUAGCUAUAGGUUUGGAUAUUUAAACAGUGAGUAUCAAGUGAUUGUUUUAAAUGAUAAGGCAGUGGUUCACGUUUGCUCAGAGGAACGUUCUUAUCUGUGAUCCAAACAUGGAAAGAUCCACCUUUUCACAGUUGCUCAUUUGAGUGAACAAAAAGUUGUAAAGCCGAAGUCAUUUACUGCAUUACUGGGAACGCUUUAUACUCUCUAGCAAGUGGCUUCAGCAUUAAACCCUCUGUAUUUCUAUUUAUAAUAACAUAUGCUAUUUACUAUUCAUCGUAGGAAAAAAAUCAAAGCUGUUUACCGUUUGAGCCCUGUUGGUGGAUAUACCCAGUUAAGUGGGUUUUAUAUUAACAAUGCAGUGGCCCAAAAGUCCAGCUGCAUGGAAAAUAUUGGGUCCCUCUUGGAACACUAUGCCCUUAUUUUAAGAAAUAUGCAAUGUGAAGCUGUAUUAAAACUGUUUGGAGAAAUGUUGGGCAUAUAUAUGCUUUACUAUCUAGCUGAAAUUAACCGGACAUAAAAGUGGUUAACUUUGGCUGGAUCCAGGCCUGGUUUUGUUUUGCUUUUUUCUGAGAGGGAAGGGCAUACCAAACAUUCACAUUUCUAGUACUGCAGAUUUUGUUCCUUCUACUCAAAUCAUAUUUUGGAUAGUUAAGCAUAGCUGCCCUUUGCUAUAGAUGCAAGCAUAGCACUUUAAUUCUUAUGGAUCUUGUCAUUUUAACAAGGACGGCAUUUUAUUCUAUUGGUGUAAUGGGUUAUUCGGAAAAAGAACCAGUAGCAUUUUAGUCAAACUUUUUGGGGCUUGGUUGUUUUCUCUUUACAUUUUUGGAGCUAGUGUCUUAAGGAGAAAAUUAGAGCGGCUGGUAGCAGCGAGGUUGACUAUGAUAUGUAGAGUCAACACUGCACAAAGGGUGCUCCACUCCACCGUUUGAGCUGGCACCCUCUACCCGUACUGGGACAGUGAGCGCGCUGGGUCAUUCUGCAGCAGAGUGCCAAUAAAACCCUACAGUAGAUCACGGAAGGACUGUACUGGGAGAAGGCAUGGUUGUGAUUUAUGGGGCUGGUUCACACGAUCCAAAUAAGCCUUGGUAGGUGAUUGGAAGGUUGUCAUUCCCUCCAGCAGGUCAUGGUACCCGGCUUCAGAUGACAUGACAAGCUGUGCCCAGGCAGUGGAAAUAAUACCCAGCAUGCACCACCAUUUAAAUAAGCCACUGUGGCCAGGCAGAGGCUGUUGUGGCAGAAUUUUCUGCAUAAAUACCGGCUCUGCUCUAGUGUAAAUGCUCUACUUGGGGGAGCAGUAUUAUGGGGAAGGGAGACACUCCCUGGAGAUCGUGGUUAGUCUUCCGCAAUUAGAAAACUGCCAUGAAGGAGGAGACAAAGGUCUUCCAGGAGUCCUGUCCUUGCACGUCACACUGUUCAUGCAACUGUUUGCAUGAACUGUUCUUUGUUACAUGCAAGCCUCCCAGAAUAGCAUCUGCAGUGCUUCCUGCAGCCAAACAGAUGCAGGUAGGAUCAAGUCUAGUCUUUUAAGAAAAAGAAUAUGCAUACCUAAUAGGGCCCAAAGUAGUAAGAUGUAGUGGGAAAACACACACUCGGCAGGUUUGGUGAUGUGCUGUCUUUGUGAUCCUUAACAAUUACCUAUGUUAAUGCUAAAAUUAUCUUAUUACUAUUUUGCUUCACCAGAAAGAGUAGUGGCGAUUUUUGCCUUUCGUAAAAAUCAAACACUGUACCUGUGAAUGACCAAAUGAUAAAAACUGUUAAACCAUUUCAGGGGAUUUGAUUAAUUAUAUCAGUGACAUGUAGCCAAACAUGGCUGCAAUUCUUUUAUUUGAACCUGAAAUUGUUUAAAACAUUCUGGCUGCAAUCCACAUCCUACUGAAUUAUGUGGCAAAACUGAUCUAUUUUAAUGGUUCUGGAUUGCACCCUCUUUAGUUCGCUUUUAAAUCUUUCUGUUUGCCUCAAGGAAAAUAAAUUUCUGUAACUUGCAAUAAUUCAGGAAAGAGUUCCACCCAAAACAAUUUAGCAUUGAACCCUGCAAAAUAAUCAAGUUUUCAAAAAAAUAAAAUAAAAUCAGUACACGUAAGCACAACUGCACGACUUUGGUCCUUCAGCGGUCAGUAGCUUUGAUGAAACGUUUAUUUCAGAGCUUUCUCUGUAUUCAAUAAUGGCAGUGUUACAACACACACGACGAAUCGCAUCUGCUGCAAGGCCGUGGAAGACCCUGUAGUGGAUGCAAUAUGUCAUGAAAACAAUUGACGGUAGCGUUUACAACUGUGUGAUUUCUGCUCCUUAACAACACACCAGGCUUCUUGCUUUUUAAAGAUACGAAAAUACCGACUUGAUGCCACAAGUGACCUUUACUUUUGCUUAGGGUUUUCAUUGAAUCACCUAGGUUUUUAUUUCAGCUGCUCCAUGUAAUGUGUGAUUUUGUGAGGUGUGAGUGACUAUACCUUGCAUGGAUUAUUUGUGCCAACACAAAUAAAAUAUUCUACCCCCAA
Varanus komodoensis (Komodo dragon) is the source of this 5465-nucleotide long non-coding RNA. RefSeq lists it as uncharacterized. The record is from RefSeq and is a predicted model, not a curated record. Lineage: Eukaryota; Metazoa; Chordata; Lepidosauria; Squamata; Varanidae. The transcript is spliced from 2 exons.